AGAUCUCCCAUUCAAACCUUGCUGUUUCCUUGAGACAUGAAGAACAAAAGUCAAAUGACGUCUGGUGGCAUUUGAGAUCCUGCAUAAUCUAGUUCUUGCUACAUUUCCCAAAUUAUUUUUCUUUCUCCUUCCUUUAUUCUCCAGGGCACAUACACAUGCUUCCAAUGUGUGCAGGGGUUCAGAGGAUAGUCUCUAGAGUCAGACUACUUGGGUUUACAUCCCAGCCCCGACACUCACAAGUUGAGAGGUCUUCGACAAGUUACUCAAUCUCUGAGUCUUAGCUUUGACUUCUGUGAAAUGACUAGGAUGUGUCUGCUGUCUCCCAGGGUGACCGUGGGAAUCAGAUGAGCUCACAGUUUUGAGAAAGCAGUGACCUUAAGAUAUUUCUUGCUUCCUGCUAUUAAUGACUCUAUUAUAUAUGUGUCUGUGUGUAUACGUAUGUAUAUACAGAUGUAAUUCAAUCAUGACCCUACUCGAAGUCAGAGUAUAUUCAUCUUAAUGUCACAUCAUAAGACAUGGACUGUGCCUAUUUUGCUAUUCAUGCACUCUUGAUAGAUGCUGAAUAAAACACACUCAACUCAUGCGUGUGUCUUGCAUCAGAUGGUAGUGAUCCUUAACUGGGAGGAAUACUAUUUCCCAGGGUUCGGAAUAGAUAAUUAGGAGUCUGUCAGUGUGAAGCGGUGAAGUACUGCACUCUUUAGCUUUCAGAACUGCAUUUGGGGCCAUAUUAUGAGAUGUGUGUGUGCACUUGGCAACAUUAGAAUUUUGAGACAGAGUGAUCUUUAAAGAUUUCCUCCCUUGCAGCCAGGCGGUGAGGUGACCUGGGCUGCUCCAGAAGCAGUGUUCCUCCAGCCCCUCAUUCAACACAAAUUUAUCAAGCAUCUUCUGUGUAUUAGGGAUGGAGGUGGAAGCAAUGAAGACUCUUGUCAGAGAAAAAUCUGUAUUCCCAUGACCCAGACAUUCUACUGAGAGAAAGAAAACCAGGUUCCGUGAAAUGUUGGACUGGAGAAAUGGUGGAGGCCCAGCAGAUUUUAGAGGUCAGCAUAUUUCAGCAGAGAAGACCACAAUGCAAAGGCCUGAUUGGAAGUGAACAUUGUCAGGAGUGUGGAAACUGAACAGGAUGAAUUGCAUUAACACACGUGAAAUACUCCUGCACAACUCAGGAAAAGUUAGCUAGGACUGUCAUUACUAUUAUUGCUCCAUCCCUGAACAAAAAGACACAUACAGAAGCGGCUUAAAAACAAAGGACAAGAUCAAAGCAGAUGAUAGAUUCAAUCAAUUUUGGAAAAAUGAAAGUCACUAUUGAAAAGCAAAAGCAUAUUAGCCAAAUUGUUAUUUGGUCUCAGGGAAGUCAAAAAUAAAAUUUAAUGUGUUUUUUCUACUUAUCCAGAUUUCUUCACGUCAUACAAGCCUAGACAGGCCAAAUCUUUACAUGCAUUUUAAAUAGGAAAGUAUAAACCUAGACA
This is a long non-coding RNA of Odocoileus virginianus texanus, 1466 nucleotides long. RefSeq lists it as uncharacterized. NCBI's taxonomy places the organism in Eukaryota, Metazoa, Chordata, Mammalia, Artiodactyla, Cervidae. The record is from RefSeq and is a predicted model, not a curated record.